AACGCGAAGAACCUUACCUACUCUUGACAUCCACGGAAUUUAGCAGAGAUGCUUUAGUGCCUUCGGGAACCGUGAGACAGGUGCUGCAUGGCUGUCGUCAGCUCGUGUUGUGAAAUGUUGGGUUAAGUCCCGCAACGAGCGCAACCCUUAUCCUUUGUUGCCAGCGGUUCGGCCGGGAACUCAAAGGAGACUGCCAGUGAUAAACUGGAGGAAGGUGGGGAUGACGUCAAGUCAUCAUGGCCCUUACGAGUAGGGCUACACACGUGCUACAAUGGCAUAUACAAAGAGAAGCGACCUCGCGAGAGCAAGCGGACCUCAUAAAGUAUGUCGUAGUCCGGAUUGGAGUCUGCAACUCGACUCCAUGAAGUCGGAAUCGCUAGUAAUCGUAGAUCAGAAUGCUACGGUGAAUACGUUCCCGGGUCUUGUACACACCG
RNAcentral lists this ribosomal RNA (434 nucleotides) under uncultured Kluyvera sp. RNAcentral's name for it is "bacterial SSU rRNA". It matches the Rfam family "Bacterial small subunit ribosomal RNA", at positions 958 to 1392 of the family's 1533-position model. Lineage: Bacteria; Pseudomonadati; Pseudomonadota; Gammaproteobacteria; Enterobacterales; Enterobacteriaceae. The record is from RNAcentral.